This 2529-nucleotide long non-coding RNA is filed under the name Salmo salar (Atlantic salmon). RNAcentral describes it as "lncRNA (ENSSSAG00000088065.1)". Lineage: Eukaryota; Metazoa; Chordata; Actinopteri; Salmoniformes; Salmonidae. The record is from RNAcentral.
AAUGAGUGGUCAACAAUGGCGUGUGUUCUGUUCAAACUGAAUGAGUGGUCAACAAUGGCGUGUGUUCUGUUCAAACUGAAUGAGUGGUCAACAAUGCAUAAGCAAAACACAAAAGAGUAACGGUAUGCUCCAGAAUGAAUGGAAGGGAUGGUUUGGAAGGUUAUAAAGAAAUGGAUCAUGUUUUGUCUAGCUUCAUGGUGAUUCUAGCUUCAUGGUGAUUCUAGCUUCAUGGUGAAUCCAGCUUCAUGGUGAUUCUAGCUUCAUGGUGAUUCUAGCUUCAUGCUGAUUCUAACUUCAUGGUGAUUCUAACUUCAUGGUGAUUCUAUCUACUGGAAUUCUAAUGCAUUUCCUGCACUUGACAUAUUGUUUGUGGACUGAGUAUCAGUUUAAAAAAUGUACCCAGAACACUUAAUCAGUGAGUACAUUAGCAUAAAUUAAAAUAAGCCAAUAUAAUGUUUUUAAGCACAGUCACUUCCAGUGAUUACCCUAUGAAGGGUAACAUAUGUAUUUGUCAAAGAGAAGAACACAGUACAGAGAACACACAUUAAUAAUAUGCUUAUAUCAUUUUCAUAUUUUGAACAUAUGGUGUGUGUACAUACACAUACAUACAUACACUACCACUAUCACUGUACAUCAGUGUUAUCAAAAUAGCCAAAUACUGCUGGUAACCAAAACCACUUGUGUAAGUGCAAAAAAGGCAUUUUAAUGUAAAUGUUCAUUCUGAUGUUGUGUAACCAGGUGGUAGUCAUGGAAUACACAACUAAACACAAUUCUGAAAUCUUUCUCAAAGUUACUCUUUUCCCUCAUAAUUUCGUGUUAUUGGUGCUAAUUAGUUUAUUUUUUUCAAUAGUAUAUUUCUGUCCAUUUCUUAUUGUCACUGAGUUUGAACAUCCGGUGUAUCAUCCUGUUUUUACAUUUUGGUUGUGAAGGUUGGUCUCUACUCACUCUUAUAUUACAGCUUUCUCCUAGCAUUUGACUUGAGUCGAAAUUAUGCAAAAAACCCAAAAUGGGAUAUUAGAUUUUUUCAUUUUGUUGUAGCUACAGUAUUUGCUUACACACAAUUACACAUUGCCUUCUUGUGCAAUUCAACAUAUCUACCCUACCAUUCCCUUGAUACCAAAAAAUAACUGCAGAAGCUUCAGCUCUAUAGAUUGGAUUCGGCUUAACCAAUUUCUUUUACCUUUAUUUAACUAGGCAAGUCAGUUAAGAACAAAUUCUUAUUUUCAAUGACGGCCUAGGAACAGUGGGUUAACUGCUUGUUCAGGGGCAGAACGACAGAUUUGUACCUUGUCAGCUCGGGGAUUUGAACUUGCAACCUUUCAGUUACUAGUCCAACACUCUAAGUAUUCAUCUCAUAGAAUUGUUCAGGUACUCUCUCUGUACUACAAAACCAAAAAUACACUAGUGUUUGUUUAUAGAUAUGAGAUGGAAAAGACUAACCCUGAUGGCACACAGACAGAUACAGAAGAUGUUGGGAUAUAUUGUUAUGUCCUCAUGUUGUGAAUAACUUGCAUCAUCAUUUUUUUUCUUUAUCGUUUUGCUUUUAUUUUGCGUGGUUACAGGAUUUACAGUACGUUACAUUUCAUUAAAAAGUAAUGUUUGACAGACACAGACAGAUAGUAGGAAAGAGUUCCUCUCACAUUACAGAUAUAAUCCACUCACAGUUCACUUUGUACUUUCAGUCUAAAGCAUUGACACACAAGCUUGCUUCUAAAAUGUUUACUGUCUGUUAAUUAAAGGUGAUGUGAAAAGUUAGUGUCCAUCCAAAUCCGUAUACCAUGGUAACAGAUAUACAUUAUACAGUGUAACUACAAUACCACACAGCUGAAUCCACCAUAGUCCUUCUUUCACAAACAGUCCAUUUUAUAUUUGAUAUCAUUUUUGGAGACGUGGACGUGUACUAUGAUGAGUGAAGCAAAAUAUUUUUUCAGUUGACGGACAACAUGUGUACCCUAUAAGUGGACUAUGUUGGAGUGGUGUACCCUGGCCUUUCCAUCCAGAUGUUUGUUUUUUGUUGUUGAUCAUUUUAGCCAUGUGGCCAGCAGAACAAUAGCUUUUGUGAUGCAGUGCCCCUAAAAAAAAAACGUUACUCUACUUUUCACAUUGCCUGUCCAAUACCACCGUAUUAUUGAAAGCUUCAUGUAAUGAUGCUUUAGUCUUUGAAUAUAAAAGGAAAAAAAUACUAUAAAAAGAAAUAAGAAACUGUCAAAUUUGUCAACAUAAAAUGUUUUCUUUGUUGCAUGUAUUUUGUUCUUUAAUAAAAUACCGUACUGCAGUGUUUUUGAAUGUUACUUAUUUUUUUAUAAAGAUUUCAGAGUGAAAUCGUGGAGCCUUUUUCUUGACAGGUUUUAACUUUUAAGAUCUCUGCAAAUGUAAAAAAAGGUAUACAAAUGGAAACCGCAAAACUAUUGUCUUUUUAAUUCCUAUUUAAAACCGUUUUUCUGUGGAGAAAAAAAUUGCUAACAAGGUGUAGGUUUUAUGGUCUCUUUCUUUGUACUAGUAAUGCAUAUUCCAAAUAAAUUGUUUCUU